UUACCAGGUCUGACAUCCCUGACAACCAAGAGAUUGGCGUCCCGUCGGGGACAGGGUGACAGGUGGUGCAUGGUUGUCGUCAGCUCGUGUCGUGAGAUGUUGGGUUAAGUCCCGCAACGAGCGCAACCCUCGCCUCUAGUUGCCAGCAUUCGGUUGGGCACUCUAGAGGGACUGCCGGCGACAAGUCGGAGGAAGUGGGAUGACGUCAAAUCAUCAUGCCCCUUAUGACCUGGGCUACACACGUGCUACAAUGGGCGGUACAAAGGGCUGCGAACCCGCGAGGGGGAGCGAAUCCCAAAAAGCCGCUCUCAGUUCGGAUUGCAGGCUGCAACUCGCCUGCAUGAAGUCGGAAUCGCUAGUAAUCGCGGAUCAGCUACGCCGCGGUGAAUACGUUCUCGGGCCUU
Molecule: ribosomal RNA, 404 nt
Filed under: uncultured Geobacillus sp.
Lineage: Bacteria; Bacillati; Bacillota; Bacilli; Caryophanales; Anoxybacillaceae
Description: bacterial SSU rRNA
Rfam family: Bacterial small subunit ribosomal RNA
Source: RNAcentral